UUUUCAGUUUUUUUUGUGGAGUACUGUACAGAAUGAAGUUUGCAGCUCUCCUGCUUCUGGGAAUGUUGAUGGCACGAGCACAGAAUUUUGAUAGAUGUGACGUUGUCAACUUCUUGUGGUGGAUGAACGACCUCUGUCAUUUGACCCUUCUCAGAUAUUACGUCACCCUCGACGGUGUUCUGACACAGCAAGACAUCCACAGCACCCUCAACGCUGUCUGCAGUGAAGUUACCGAGGAGCGACGUCUGUGUGCAUUCCAGCGGACGGUGACCUGUGACAACCGCGACACCCUCCGCAGCUUUGCUGCUGUCAACGGCAUCUGUAUCGACGACCACCCCUCACCCUAUGCCCUGCAGCUACUUGCGUCCAUCCCUCCCCGAGUGAACGCUUCAUGCAUGGUAGGGGAAGCGACUGGAGUCAUCCGCAGCUGUACCGAAGUGGUUGCGUGGAGAGCAGCCUUUGGUUUCAACCGCUCCAUGUCGGAGGCCGCCAUUGUUCAGCAUCACCAGAUUCAGGUGAACAGGGGCGUAUUAUGUAUGUACUCGGGAGCGGACGGCAGAAUGGCGCGGUGUGCGGAGGAGGAGGGGAAGUUGGAGGGGUUGAAGGCUGCCUACCUGUUGUUCCUGCUCGCAUACGCUCCCCCGGGAUUCACCUAUAACCAUACCUACAUCACCGAUACCACUGACAGACAUUAGACAUCGCCUUCAUAAACAGUGUCACUGACAGACGAGGGCUGAUGUCCAUGUAGCCUCAGUAGCAACUAGUCUCUAGGCUACGGAGUAACUGCAAAUUGACUGAUGUCCACGUAGCCUAGAGUAGCAACCAUUGCCCCCAUACGGACCGUCUCUAGGCUACGGAUUAACUGUACAUUUGCUGGUGUCCAUGUAGCCCUCAGUAGCGACUAGUCUCUAGGCUACGGAGUAACUGCAAAUUGACUGAUGUCCACGUAGCCUAGAGUAGCAACCAUUGCCCCCAUACGGACCGUCUCUAGGCUACGGAUUAACUGUACAUUUGCUGGUGUCCAUGUAGCCCUCAGUAGCGACUAGUCUCUAGGCUACGGAGUAACUGCAAAUUGACUGAUGUCCACGUAGCCUAGAGUAGCAACCAUUGCCCCCAUACGGACCGUCUCUAGGCUACGGAUUAACUGUACAUUUGCUGGUGUCCAUGUAGCCCUCAGUAGCGACUAGUCUCUAGGCUACGGAGUAACUGCAAAUUGACUGAUGUCCACGUAGCCUAGAGUAGCAACCAUUGCCCCCAUACGGACCGUAUCUAGGCUACGGAUUAACUGUACAUUUGCUGGUGUCCAUGUAGCCCACAGUAGCGACCACUGCCACAAUACGGACCGUCUCCGGGCUGCAGAGUAACUGUAAAUUGACUGACAUAAAUGUAGCCUUCAGUAGCGACCACUGCCACAAUACGGACCUUCUCUAGGCUACGGAUUAACUGUAAAUUGACUUGACAUAGAUGUAGCCUUCAGUAGCGACCACUGCCACAAUACGGACCUUCUCUAGGCUACGGAUUAACUGUAAAUUGACUGACAUAGAUGUAGCCUUCAGUAGCGACCACUGCCACAAUACGGACCUUCUCUAGGCUACGGAUUAACUGUAAAUUGACUGACAUAGAUGUAGCCUUCAGUAGCGACCACUGCCACAAUACGGACCUUCUCUAGGCUACGGAUUAACUGUAAAUUGACUGACAUAGAUGUAGCCUUCAGUAGCGACCACUGCCACAAUACGGACCUUCUCUAGGCUACGGAUUAACUGUAAAUUGACUGACAUAGAUGUAGCCUUCAGUAGCGACCACUGCCACAAUACGGACCUUCUCUAGGCUACGGAUUAACUGUAAAUUGACUGACAUAGAUGUAGCCUUCAGUAGCGACCACUGCCACAAUACGGACCUUCUCUAGGCUACGGAUUAACUGUAAAUUGACUUGACAUAGAUGUAGCCUUCAGUAGCGACCACUGCCACAAUACGGACCUUCUCUAGGCUACGGAUUAACUGUAAAUUGACUGACAUAGAUGUAGCCUUCAGUAGCGACCACUGCCACAAUACGGACCUUCUCUAGGCUACGGAUUAACUGUAAAUUGACUGACAUAGAUGUAGCCUUCAGUAGCGACCACUGCCACAAUACGGACCUUCUCUAGGCUACGGAUUAACUGUAAAUUGACUGACAUAGAUGUAGCCUUCAGUAGCGACCACUGCCACAAUACGGACCUUCUCUAGGCUACGGAUUAACUGUAAAUUGACUGACAUAGAUGUAGCCUUCAGUAGCGACCACUGCCACAAUACGGACCUUCUCUAGGCUACGGAUUAACUGUAAAUUGACUUGACAUAGAUGUAGCCUUCAGUAGCGACCACUGCCACAAUACGGACCUUCUCUAGGCUACGGAUUAACUGUAAAUUGACUGACAUAGAUGUAGCCUUCAGUAGCGACCACUGCCACAAUACGGACCUUCUCUAGGCUACGGAUUAACUGUAAAUUGACUGACAUAGAUGUAGCCUUCAGUAGCGACCACUGCCACAAUACGGACCUUCUCUAGGCUACGGAUUAACUGUAAAUUGACUGACAUAGAUGUAGCCUUCAGUAGCGACCACUGCCACAAUACGGACCUUCUCUAGGCUACGGAUUAACUGUAAAUUGACUGACAUAGAUGUAGCCUUCAGUAGCGACCACUGCCACAAUACGGUGGGUGGGUGAGUUCGGUUUUACGCCGCUUUUAGCAAUAUUCCAGCAAUAUCACAGCAGAGGACACCAGAAAUGGGCUUCACACAUUGUACCCAUGUCGGGAAUCGAACCUGGGUCUUCGGCGUGACGAGCUAACGCUUUAACCACUAGGCUACCGACCGCCCCGCCACAAUACGGACCGUCUCUACUGUACAUUGGCUGAACAUGAACUCAAUAAAUAGAUACGAUGAAUGAUA
Molecule: unclassified non-coding RNA, 2922 nt
Filed under: Haliotis rufescens (red abalone)
Lineage: Eukaryota; Metazoa; Mollusca; Gastropoda; Lepetellida; Haliotidae
Description: uncharacterized LOC124151103, transcript variant X3
Source: RNAcentral